RNAcentral lists this ribosomal RNA (2915 nucleotides) under Vibrio parahaemolyticus. RNAcentral's name for it is "bacterial LSU rRNA". It matches the Rfam family "Bacterial large subunit ribosomal RNA". The record is from RNAcentral. Lineage: Bacteria; Pseudomonadati; Pseudomonadota; Gammaproteobacteria; Vibrionales; Vibrionaceae.
GUUGUAUGGUUAAGUGACUAAGCGUACACGGUGGAUGCCUUGGCAGUCAGAGGCGAUGAAAGACGUAGUAACUUGCGAUAAGCCCAGAUUAGGUAGUAACAACCAUUUGAGUCUGGGAUUUCUGAAUGGGGAAACCCACGUGCAUAAGCACGUAUCCUUACCUGAAUACAUAGGGUAAGGAGGCGAACCGGGGGAACUGAAACAUCUAAGUACCCCGAGGAAAAGAAAUCAACCGAGAUUCCGAAAGUAGCGGCGAGCGAAAUUGGACUAGCCCUUAAGCUUUACACGCGUUAGACGAACGGUCUGGAAAGUCCGACGAUACAGGGUGAUAGUCCCGUAGUUGACGACGUGUGUUCAGUGAAAUCGAGUAGGGCGGGACACGUGAUAUCCUGUCUGAAUAUGGGGGGACCAUCCUCCAAGGCUAAAUACUACUGACUGACCGAUAGUGAACCAGUACCGUGAGGGAAAGGCGAAAAGAACCCCUGUGAGGGGAGUGAAAUAGAACCUGAAACCGUGUACGUACAAGCAGUAGGAGCAGGCUUUGUCCUGUGACUGCGUACCUUUUGUAUAAUGGGUCAGCGACUUAUAUUCAGUGGCAAGGUUAACCAUCUAGGGGAGCCGUAGGGAAACCGAGUCUUAACUGGGCGUUCAGUCUCUGGAUAUAGACCCGAAACCAGGUGAUCUAGCCAUGGGCAGGUUGAAGGUUGAGUAACAUCAACUGGAGGACCGAACCGACUAAUGUUGAAAAAUUAGCGGAUGACUUGUGGCUAGGGGUGAAAGGCCAAUCAAACCUGGAGAUAGCUGGUUCUCCCCGAAAGCUAUUUAGGUAGCGCCUCGGACGAAUACUACUGGGGGUAGAGCACUGUUAAGGCUAGGGGGUCAUCCCGACUUACCAACCCUUUGCAAACUCCGAAUACCAGUAAGUACUAUCCGGGAGACACACGGCGGGUGCUAACGUCCGUCGUGGAGAGGGAAACAACCCAGACCGCCAGCUAAGGUCCCAAAUUACUACUAAGUGGGAAACGAUGUGGGAAGGCUCAGACAGCCAGGAUGUUGGCUUAGAAGCAGCCAUCAUUUAAAGAAAGCGUAAUAGCUCACUGGUCGAGUCGGCCUGCGCGGAAGAUGUAACGGGGCUAAGUAGUAAACCGAAGCUGCGGCAAUGUGCUUUUGCACAUUGGGUAGGGGAGCGUUCUGUAAGCGGUUGAAGGUGUGUGGUAACGCAUGCUGGACGUAUCAGAAGUGCGAAUGCUGACAUGAGUAACGAUAAAGGGGGUGAAAAACCUCCUCGCCGGAAGACCAAGGGUUCCUGUCCAACGUUAAUCGGGGCAGGGUAAGUCGACCCCUAAGGCGAGGCCGAAAGGCGUAGUCGAUGGGAAACGGGUUAAUAUUCCCGUACUUCUUACAAUUGCGAUGGGGGACGGAGAAGGCUAGGUGGGCCUGGCGACGGUUGUCCAGGUUCAAGUGCGUAGGCUUAAGAGUUAGGUAAAUCCGGCUCUUUUUAAGGCUGAGACACGACGUCGAGCAUCUACGGAUGUGAAGUCAUUGAUGCCAUGCUUCCAGGAAAAGCCUCUAAGCUUCAGAUUGUAAGGAAUCGUACCCCAAACCGACACAGGUGGUCGGGUAGAGAAUACCAAGGCGCUUGAGAGAACUCGGGUGAAGGAACUAGGCAAAAUGGUACCGUAACUUCGGGAGAAGGUACGCUCUCGACGGUGAAGUCCCUCGCGGAUGGAGCUAUUGAGAGUCGCAGAUACCAGGUGGCUGCAACUGUUUAUUAAAAACACAGCACUGUGCAAAAUCGUAAGAUGACGUAUACGGUGUGACGCCUGCCCGGUGCCGGAAGGUUAAUUGAUGGGGUUAGACUUCGGUCGAAGCUCUUGAUCGAAGCCCCGGUAAACGGCGGCCGUAACUAUAACGGUCCUAAGGUAGCGAAAUUCCUUGUCGGGUAAGUUCCGACCUGCACGAAUGGCGUAAUGAUGGCCACGCUGUCUCCACCCGAGACUCAGUGAAAUUGAAAUCGCUGUGAAGAUGCAGUGUACCCGCGGCUAGACGGAAAGACCCCGUGAACCUUUACUACAGCUUGGCACUGAACAUUGACCCUACAUGUGUAGGAUAGGUGGGAGGCUUUGAAGCACGUACGCCAGUAUGUGUGGAGCCGUCCUUGAAAUACCACCCUUGUAGUGUUGAUGUUCUAACGUCGACCCCUUAUCGGGGUUGCGGACAGUGCCUGGUGGGUAGUUUGACUGGGGCGGUCUCCUCCCAAAGAGUAACGGAGGAGCACGAAGGUGGGCUAAUCACGGUUGGACAUCGUGAGGUUAGUGCAAUGGCAUAAGCCCGCUUGACUGCGAGAAUGACAAUUCGAGCAGGUGCGAAAGCAGGUCAUAGUGAUCCGGUGGUUCUGAAUGGAAGGGCCAUCGCUCAACGGAUAAAAGGUACUCCGGGGAUAACAGGCUGAUACCGCCCAAGAGUUCAUAUCGACGGCGGUGUUUGGCACCUCGAUGUCGGCUCAUCACAUCCUGGGGCUGAAGUCGGUCCCAAGGGUAUGGCUGUUCGCCAUUUAAAGUGGUACGCGAGCUGGGUUUAGAACGUCGUGAGACAGUUCGGUCCCUAUCUGCCGUGGGCGUUGGAAGAUUGAAGGGGGCUGCUCCUAGUACGAGAGGACCGGAGUGGACGAACCUCUGGUGUUCGGGUUGUGUCGCCAGACGCAUUGCCCGGUAGCUAAGUUCGGAAUCGAUAACCGCUGAAAGCAUCUAAGCGGGAAGCGAGCCCUGAGAUGAGUCUUCCCUGAUACUUUAAGUAUCCUAAAGGGUUGUCGGAGACUACGACGUUGAUAGGUCAGGUGUGUAAGUGCUGUGAGGCAUUGAGCUAACUGAUACUAAUUGCCCGUGAGGCUUAACCAUACAACACCCAAGGGGUUU